GUCCUACCGAGGGAGGAGCUACAGGCCACCGCGACCAGCAGAGAGCGAAGGCAGGAGGGACCAGCCUGGCCCAGCCCCUUCAUUUUACUGUCGGGGGUGGUGAGGAGGAAGAGGAAGAGGCGAAGGCUGGCGAGGAGGAGGACAAUUAUAUAGAGUCUGUUGUGAAAUUUAGAUUAG
This 177-nucleotide small RNA is filed under the name Pan troglodytes (chimpanzee). RNAcentral's name for it is "processed transcript". Lineage: Eukaryota; Metazoa; Chordata; Mammalia; Primates; Hominidae. The record is from RNAcentral.